GACAGAGGGUGCAAACGUUGCUCGGAAUCACUGGGCGUAAAGGGCGUGUAGGCGGGUAGAUAAGUCGGGCGUGAAAUCCCUAGGCUCAACCUAGGAACUGCACUCGAAACUGUUUAUCUUGAGUGCCGGAGAGGAAAGCGGAAUUCCUGGUGUAGAGGUGAAAAUUCGUAGAUAUCAGGAGGAACACCAGUGGCGAAGGCGGCUUUCUGGACGGUAACUGACGCAUG
This 227-nucleotide ribosomal RNA is filed under the name uncultured bacterium. RNAcentral describes it as "partial 16S ribosomal RNA". It matches the Rfam family "Bacterial small subunit ribosomal RNA", at positions 524 to 749 of the family's 1533-position model. The record is from RNAcentral.